This 257-nucleotide ribosomal RNA is filed under the name uncultured bacterium. RNAcentral describes it as "partial 16S ribosomal RNA". It matches the Rfam family "Bacterial small subunit ribosomal RNA", at positions 524 to 776 of the family's 1533-position model. The record is from RNAcentral.
UACGAGGGGGGCAAGCGUUUGUUCGGAAUUAUUGGGCGUAAAGGGCUCGUAGGCGGCGUGUCGCGUCGGGGAGUGAAAGCCCGUUGCUUAACGGCGGGUUGGCUUUCGGUACGGGCAUGCUGGAGUGCGGCAGGGGAGACUGGAAUUCCUGGUGUAGCGGUGAAAUGCGCAGAUAUCAGGAGGAACACCGGUGGCGAAGGCGGGUCUCUGGGCCGAUACUGACGCUGGAGGAGCGAAAGCGUCGGGGAGCGAACAGG